AUGCGCAGCGGUAACUUCGAGCACGCUUCUCCCAACGAAGUUUCUCGUUUCCCGGCUGCCGGUACGAACUUCGUUGUUUGCCAAGUUACGACUUCGUCGUGUUCACAGGUGCACCGGUGAUGUGACCGAAUUAAGCAACGUCGCACUGCAAGAGGUACAGGAACGUACAAAAGGAGGUCAGGGAGUUGUUGCAACAAAUUGAAGAUGGCCAGGGCAUUUUUUUAAUCUCAUUUCCAGCAUUCGUGAAGAAAGUGGUGUAUACUAUAAAUUAUAUAUAUUAUAUAUGGUAUAUACUAUAAACACUCGUAUAUCUAAGUAUAUAAAUAAGGUGCCUUAGACCCGGUCCUCUUUAAUUUUACAGUGUAAUAAAUGUGUUGCUAAGGGCUAAACGACACUCGUUGAACACCCAGUAUGUGGUCUCCUUCCUCUCCCGCAGGUUGACUUUCUGGCAUGCAUUGGACGAGCACCACUACCUUCUUCAGUUAUCCCAUCAUGAAAUGCUUGUUGACCAAUGACCUUGCCUUAAAAUACAGCCUCAGGGGUCUGCAGAAGAAAAAGGUUUUCCAGGAAAUCUCCCUACGUGGAUGUGUUGUGGAGGCAGCGAAACGGUGGUGCAGCUCUGCUACCGAAGGCGAAAUUGGACGACGCAUAGGAAAGUUAGCUGACCGGAAUGGCGCAAGGGGACGGACGAUUGAUAGUCAGAUACCAAGUACACAAAUCUUGGAGGAGCACUGUCAAGCAUGCGUGCUGUUUUGUAAUAUUUUGUACCUGCAAUACGUUGACCUUUAUGUCUGUGAUGCUUUAAAACAUAGUAUUAAACAGUGAUACUGA
Long non-coding RNA from Ornithodoros turicata, 831 nucleotides. RefSeq lists it as uncharacterized. NCBI's taxonomy places the organism in Eukaryota, Metazoa, Arthropoda, Arachnida, Ixodida, Argasidae. The record is from RefSeq and is a predicted model, not a curated record. The transcript has 3 exons.